CCUACGGGAGGCAGCAGUGGGGAAUAUUGCACAAUGGGCGAAAGCCUGAUGCAGCAACGCCGCGUGAGCGAUGAAGGCCUUCGGGUCGUAAAGCUCUGUCCUCAAGGAAGAUAAUGACGGUACCUGAGGAGGAAGCCCCGGCUAACUACGUGCCAGCAGCCGCGGUAAUACGUAGGGGGCUAGCGUUAUCCGGAUUUACUGGGCGUAAAGGGUGCGCAGGUGGUUUUUAAAGUCAGAGGUGAAAGGCUAGGGCUCAACCGUAGUAAGCCUUUGAAACUGGGUAGCUUGAGUGCAGGAGGGGAGGGUGGAAUUCCUGGUGUAGCGGUGAAAUGCGUAGAUAUUAGGAGGAACACCAGUUGCGAAGGCGGCUCUCUGGACUGUAACUGACGCUGAGGCACGAAAGCGUGGGGAGCAAACAGGAUUAGAUACCCCAGUAGUC
This 439-nucleotide ribosomal RNA is filed under the name uncultured bacterium. RNAcentral describes it as "partial 16S ribosomal RNA". It matches the Rfam family "Bacterial small subunit ribosomal RNA", at positions 338 to 795 of the family's 1533-position model. The record is from RNAcentral.